UACGUAGGAGCCAAGCGUUAUCCGGAAUCAUUGGGUUUAAAGGGACCGUAGGCGGGUUUAUAAGUCAGUGGUGAAAGUCUGCAGCUUAACUGUAGAACUGCCCUUGAUACUGUAGACCUUGAAUUAUUAUGAAGUGGUUAGAAUAUGUAGUGUAGCGGUGAAAUGCAUAGAUAUUAGAUGGAAUACCGAUUGCGAAGGCAGAUCACUAAUAAUAUAUUGACGCUGAUGGACGAAAGCGUAGGUAGCAAACAGG
RNAcentral lists this unclassified non-coding RNA (253 nucleotides) under uncultured Flavobacteriaceae bacterium. RNAcentral's name for it is "contains 16S-23S intergenic spacer region". It matches the Rfam family "Bacterial small subunit ribosomal RNA", at positions 524 to 776 of the family's 1533-position model. Lineage: Bacteria; Pseudomonadati; Bacteroidota; Flavobacteriia; Flavobacteriales; Flavobacteriaceae. The record is from RNAcentral.